This 1262-nucleotide ribosomal RNA is filed under the name uncultured Rhodocyclaceae bacterium. RNAcentral describes it as "bacterial SSU rRNA". It matches the Rfam family "Bacterial small subunit ribosomal RNA", at positions 129 to 1396 of the family's 1533-position model. Lineage: Bacteria; Pseudomonadati; Pseudomonadota; Betaproteobacteria; Rhodocyclales; Rhodocyclaceae. The record is from RNAcentral.
CCCUGUAGCGGGGGAUACCUCUCGAAAGAGAGGCUAAUACCGCAUACGCUCUACGGAGGAAAGCGGAGGACCGCAAGGCUUCGCACUAUAGGAGCGGCCCGAUGUCGGAUUAGCUAGUUGGCGGGGGUAAAGGCCCACCAAGGCGACGAUCCGUAGCUGGUCUGAGAGGACGACCAGCCACACUGGAACUGAGACACGGUCCAGACUCCUACGGGAGGCAGCAGUGGGGAAUUUUGGACAAUGGGGGCAACCCUGAUCCAGCCAUGCCGCGUGAGUGAAGAAGGCCUUCGGGUUGUAAAGCUCUUUCGGCGGGGACGAAACGGUCCGUGCUAACACCACGGACUACUGACGGUACCCGAAGAAGAAGCACCGGCUAACUACGUGCCAGCAGCCGCGGUAAUACGUAGGGUGCAGGCGUUAAUCGGAAUUACUGGGCGUAAAGCGUGCGUAGGCGGUUUGUUAAGACAGGUGUGAAAUCCCCGGGCUUAACCUGGGAACUGCGCUUGUUACUGGCAGACUUGAGUGUGGCAGAGGGGGGUGGAAUUCCACGUGUAGCAGUGAAAUGCGUAGAGAUGUGGAGGAACACCGAUGGCGAAGGCAGCCCCCUGUGAUGCACGAAAAGCGUGGGGGAGCAAACAGGAUUUAGAUACCCUGGUAGUCCACGCCCUAAACUAUGUCAACUGGUUGUCGGGGAAAGAAAUUCCUUGGUAACGAAGCUAACGCGUGAAAGUUGACCGCCUGGGGAGUACGGCCGCAAAGGUUAAAACUCAAAGGAAUUGACGGGGACCCGCACAAGCGGUGGAUUAUGUGGAUUAAUUCGAUGCAACGCGAAAAACCUUACCUACCCUUGACAUGUACGGAACCCUCCAGAGAUGGAGGGGUGCCCGAAAGGGAGCCGUAACACAGGUGCUGCAUGGCUGUCGUCAGCUCGUGUCGUGAGAUGUUGGGUUAAGUCCCGCAACGAGCGCAACCCUUGCCAUUAGUUGCUACAUUCAGUUGGGCACUCUAAUGGGACUGCCGGUGACAAACCGGAGGAAGGUGGGGAUGACGUCAAGUCCUCAUGGCCCUUAUGGGUAGGGCUUCACACGUAAUACAAUGGCCGGUACAGAGGGCUGCCAACCCGCGAGGGGGCGCAAAUCCCAGAAAGCCGGUCGUAGUCCGGAUUGCAGUCUGCAACUCGACUGCAUGAAGCCGGAAUCGCUAGUAAUCGCGGAUCAGCACGCCGCGGUGAAUACGUUCCCGGGUCUUGUACACACCGCCCG